GUGUCAGCCGCCGCGGUAAUACAGAGACCCCGAGCAUUAUCCGGAAUUACUGGGCGUAAAGCGCGAGCAGCCGGUCGCAUUAGUCUGAUGUAAAAGCAUAGGGCCCAACCCUAUGAUCGCAUUGGAAACGGUGCGACUUGAGCGGAUGAGAGGAGAGCAGAACAUAUGGUGUAGGGGUGAAAUCCACUGAUAUCAUAUGGAAUACCAAAAGCGAAGGCAGCUCUCUAGCGUUCUGCUGACGGUCAAUCGCGAAAGCGUGGGGAUCAAAAAGGAUUAGAAACCCCCGUAGUCC
RNAcentral lists this ribosomal RNA (292 nucleotides) under uncultured bacterium. RNAcentral's name for it is "partial 16S ribosomal RNA". It matches the Rfam family "Bacterial small subunit ribosomal RNA", at positions 505 to 796 of the family's 1533-position model. The record is from RNAcentral.